GACGUAGGGUGCAAGCGUUAAUCGGAAUUACUGGGCGUAAAGCGUGCGUAGACGGCUAUCUAAGUCGGGUGUGAAAGCCCCGGGCUCAACCUGGGAAUUGCAUUCGAGACUGAAUAGCUAGGGUACGGUAGAGGGAAGUGGAAUUUCCGGUGUAGCGGUGAAAUGCGUAGAUAUCGGAAGGAACAUCAGUGGCGAAAGCGACUUCCUGGACCAGUACCGACGUUCAGGCACGAAAGCGUGGGGAGCAAACAGG
Molecule: ribosomal RNA, 253 nt
Filed under: uncultured bacterium
Lineage: Bacteria
Description: partial 16S ribosomal RNA
Rfam family: Bacterial small subunit ribosomal RNA
Source: RNAcentral